AAGUCCUUUCCUUUUUCUUUUCCGUCCAGUCCAAAACCCCUUCCCAAACAGACCUUUAAAUCCCCCCGCCCCUCUCUCUCUUAUACUCCGUCUGCUCAGUCGCGGCCACACCCUCCCCCUCUCUCCCCUCUCUCUUUCUCUAAAUCUCUCUCCCACGAACCUCACCGCACACAUCACUCACUUAUUCUACAAAGCUCCUUCGCUCCAAUUACCCGCCAAAAAGGUCUCCACCGACGCGACGACGUUCAUGUGAUUUUCUCCGCCAAGGGAGAUGGAUCCGACGGCUGGCGUUGAAGCCGCGGGGUCCCCGGGGCCGAGAUCGGAGGAUUUCGAGGGUUCCGAGAAGCGGCCGGCGGAGAACGGCAACGACGGGGACGGUCCCGCCCGUAAGAAGGCUCGCGGGGGUUCGGGCACGGCCGGGAGCAUGAAGAGGGUUGCGGAGAUCGUGUUGGUGCUCUCGGCCAUGGCGGAGAUGCGCGGCGGGAGGAGCCCGACGGCGGAAGAGAUGGCAAUGAUGGCGGAGGCGAGGGCGAAGGCGGUGGAGCUGUGCGGAGGGCUCGCUCCGAAGGAUGUUGUGCCUAGGGAUGCCAUUGGGGCGGUUAUUGAAGAUCUUGGGUUGAAUAAGGCUAGGGAUCAGAGGCUAGGGUUUCGGCCUCCCAAGAUAUCUAUUGCUGAGAAGUUGUUACUUACCAAGAGAAAGAUGGAAGAAUCCAAGGGAUUUGGUACACAUUCUACUACAUAUACAUCUCAGCGGCCUCAGACAAGCUUUAGUGCAUUGGCGGAAAAUCGUGGCACAUCACAGACUGUUCGCAUGUUUCCCUCAGAUAAACCAAGUCAUCCACCAAUCCCUUCUGGAGGCUUACAGCCUGCUUUGCCUUUAGGUCAAGUUUCUGCUGCCACUUCUACAUCAUUACCACAUCAGCUGUCCUCCAAUGGAUUAAAAUCAUCAACAGUUUCUAGUGGGUUGCCUAGCAGUCAGCCAGGGAAAGAUCCAUCUUCGUUGGUGUUACCUAAAGCUGACAAGCCAAAUUUCAGGUUGGAGGGAGGAUUGAAUGGAACAUCUUAUGCAUUGCAAUUUCGAGCAAAUUCUUCUACUGACCACCCACCGGCAAAAGCUCCCAUGUGGUCUCUACAACCUCAAUCUGCUCCAGCAGGUAGAAGUGGACAAGAAACCAAGAUGCCGGAUCAUACUUCUGCUAAGGUUGAGGUAACUGCUGACAGAAGUGCAUCACGAGUGGGUUCUCAAGCAUCUAGAGAUCAGACCACUACAGCAUUUAUCACCCAAGCCACGUCUGGAAGUCUACCUCAUCAAUCUUUGCAGAGCAUGAACUAUGCUCAUACCUCUUCACCUUUUACCAGCCACAGUGAGAUUGUUAGAUUUGUGCAGAAGUUGCUACAACCACAGCUUCCUGAGCACCCAACAUGGACCCCUCCUUCAAGGGAUUACAUGAAUAAGGCAUUGACUUGCCUAAUAUGCAAGCUUACCAUUAAUGAGGUGGAAAGUGUACUUGUUUGUGAUGCAUGUGAGAAAGGUUUUCACCUAAAGUGUAUUCAGCCAGGCAAUCUAAAGGGAAUUCCUAGAGGUGAGUGGCACUGUCCCAGGUGUUUGAUGUUAAGUAAUGGGAAGGCUUUACCUCCUAAAUAUGGUCGUGUCAUGAGAAAUAUUACCCCACCAAAAAUUUCUUCAAGUACAGCUGGAGUCCAGUCUCCUUCAGAGAAGAAAUUGGUUACUUCAGAGCAGAAGGUCAAUCAGCAGAAAAUAAUAGCAAAUGGAAACUCUGCUCUACAUUGUCCUCUUCCUGGUACUGUGGGCAGUAACUGUACUGAGCUGGCAUCUGAUAUAAAGAUGCCAAAUGCAAGUGAAAUGCAGAAUGACAUUUUUUUAUCAAACAGACAGAAAAUGGAUGACAUGCUAUUGCCUAGUUCUGAAACUUGCCCAAAUAAUUUAGUGAGUACCUCAGGGGCAGAUUUGCCCCCAAGCGGCACAUCUGAUGAAAGUUCUAGUCAGCAAAUUCAAAUUUCCGAUUCAUCUACACAUGAAAAGAGAUUAGUUUUUGAAACAAAAUCACAGCCUCCAGUAAAGGUAACUGACUCAGUUGUUAAUACGUUAGAUCAUUCUCAAGCUGCACAUGGUUUGCAGCAUGUUGACCAGAAAGAACUGCCAAACUGUGAUGAGGUUCCAUUGAAGCAAUGUCAUGACAACAAUCCUAUAGCUAAAGAUCUAGAUAAAUCUUAUGUAAGAGGAACCAUUGAUUGUAAGACAACGUGUGGCCAAGACAUUGUACAGCCAAGUGUUGUUGGGACUGCUGAUGUGGACACUGGGACUAGAGAGGAUGCUAGGUUGUCAGUAGAUGGGUUGCAUACUGUUGAUUGGAUUGGCAAUGCAGUUCAAGUUGUGGGUGAGAAGACAUUUUACCAGUCUUGUUUCAUCGAUGGAGUUACAUAUAAAUUGCAGGAUCAUGCUCUUUUACGUUCUAGCAAUGCUAAAUUGACACCUUCUAAACUCCAGGCCAUGUGGGAGGAUAGCAAAGCUAGGUCAAAGUGGAUUAAUGUUAAGCAGUGUUAUUUUCCGGGUGAUUUGCCGGAGGUUGUUGGCCACCCAUGCACCCCUGAAAGCGACGAGGUCUACGAAUCUAAUCGUGAUAGAACUGUGAUGGCUGGCUUGAUUCAAGGUCCUUGUGGAGUUCUUCCUCCAGAUAAGUUCAAGGAAGAGUUUGAAAGGAGAACUCAGUUAGGCACUGAGGCAACUGAUGUUCUAUGUCCUAUUUACCUGUGCAAGUGGUUGUAUGAUGAAUCUAAAGGGGGUUUUGUGUCUGUUUCAAGUUAACUGCAGUCAUGCAUAUAUUUUAGGUGACAUGAUGUUUUCUAGGACUUUGUUGCAGAAAUUCCAUGCUCUCUUUAAUCAGGUAACAUAUUCAUUGUAUUCAAGGUGAGACCACCAGGAGAAGUUUUAAGGAAGUUUAAGCACUCAUGUCUUGUACAAUAUGUUGCUGUAGUCUCAGUCUGUAACAUCAGCCUAAUAGUAACCAAAUGGAAUUCUUUCAUGCGCCUUAUUUGGCUGCUUCAAGCCCAUCGUUAUAUUAUCGGCAAGUGAAGUAUAGAAAGAAUAUAUACUUUUCUGAAAUGUUUGAAUUAUUCCUCUGACAGGAAAACCAACUUGUUAAUUACAGUUGUUCGGAUAUUGAUAUCUGUACCUUACUUGGUUUCAUAAGCAGAGUAGGAUUCCUUGGGGUAACUAUAAUGUGGAAGUUAAUUGUAAUAAGGAGGGGAGGGGAGCAACCUGAGGUGCAUUGCCUGCUUGCAGGUUUCAGCAUCAUCUAGGAUUUCAGUGGUAUUUAAAUUGUUGAUCUUUGUAAAGUGGAUUAUUGAGCAUUCAUCGCCCUUAAAGAAUGACCGUUGGUCCUUCCCCA
Molecule: RNA transcript, 3410 nt
Organism: Malania oleifera
Lineage: Eukaryota; Viridiplantae; Streptophyta; Magnoliopsida; Santalales; Ximeniaceae
Exons: 8
Source: RefSeq, a predicted model, not a curated record